Molecule: long non-coding RNA, 447 nt
Organism: Lycium ferocissimum
Lineage: Eukaryota; Viridiplantae; Streptophyta; Magnoliopsida; Solanales; Solanaceae
Exons: 2
Source: RefSeq, a predicted model, not a curated record
CCUAGCAUUCUUCUCCACAUCCAUUCUCAGUAACGUUCCAAAGAUUUUUCAACCCAAAAUCAGAGGAGGUCUCACCAUUUCGGGAAAGACCUCAGAUAUAUCGUGCUAAGAACGCUCUUUGACUGAAGGUUGAAUUCGGAUUGCAAUGGAGUCUUAAUUCGGGACUCUCUCAAAACUCGGAGUCUUAACCCAAGACUCUCCCGUUACCCGAGCAUGGAGUCAAUUCCGCAGAGUUUCCUUUAAAUGCAUCGAAUCUCCCAAGAGGAACGAGCGACUUUCGCUUCGGGCCUCCCAUGGCAAUCUUUCCUCUACCAGUCAUUCUAUUCUUAUUAUUUUUGUUGACUUGUGUUCUUGUUAUUUUUUGUUGACUUGUGUAUGUUUGGUUUAUCCCAGUUUUGGGGUUGUAGGAUAAAUUUAUAGUAGUUAAUACAGGUUUUAGUUUUAUCA